UAAUAAGUGUUUUAUGGCACUUUUAAAUCCAUAUCCACCUCGUGCUGCAAUGUCGGUCGAUCUUCUUUUUUUGAGGAUCGACCAAACAUCAACCUUUAUUUUUUAACUCUUUGUCUGAAAAAUAUUAUGAAUAAACAAUUCAAAAUA
This 147-nucleotide unclassified non-coding RNA is filed under the name soil metagenome. RNAcentral describes it as "partial internal transcribed spacer 1". The record is from RNAcentral.